RNAcentral lists this signal recognition particle RNA (299 nucleotides) under Cebus imitator (Panamanian white-faced capuchin). RNAcentral's name for it is "Metazoan signal recognition particle RNA (ENSCCAG00000001644.1)". It matches the Rfam family "Metazoan signal recognition particle RNA". Rfam says of the family: The signal recognition particle (SRP) is a universally conserved ribonucleoprotein. It is involved in the co-translational targeting of proteins to membranes. Lineage: Eukaryota; Metazoa; Chordata; Mammalia; Primates; Cebidae. The record is from RNAcentral.
GCUGGGCACCAUGGCAUGUGCCUGUAGUCCCAGCUACUCGGGAGGAUGAGGCUGGAGGAUCUCUUGAGUCCAGGAGUUCUGGACUGUAGUGCGCUAUGCCAAUUGGGUGUCCGCACUAAGUUCAGCAUCAAUAUGGUGACCUCCUGGGAGUGAGGGAUCACCAGGUUGCCUAAGGAGGGGUGAACCAGCCCAGGUCGGAAACGGAGCAGGUCAAAACUCCCGUGCUGAUCAGUAGUGAGAUCGCACCUGUGAAUAGCCACUGCACGCCAGCCUGGGCAACAUAGCAAGACUCCGUCUCU